UGAUAAAAUUAAUGAAGAAAUUAAACUUAUGAAUAUAAAUUUAUUAUUGAGUUUUAAUAUUACAUUUAUUAUUCUCUUUGAUUUUAAUAUUUUAUAUUUAAUAAUUAUUACAUUCGUCUGGUUAAUAAAUAAUAAUUAAAUAAAUCAAAUGAUUUUAAUUUACUAUAUGAUUAUAAUAUAACGUUGAUUUUUUAUGAUUUCAAUAAUUUCCUAUAUACAAAAUAAUACAAAAAAUUUAUUAGAAAGUUAAUUUAUUAUUUUAUUUAUAAAAAUUAGGAUGAAUUUGUAAUGUUAAUAUCAAAAAAAUAAAUAUAAAUAUCAAAAAUAAAUUUAUUUAAAAUUAAAAUUUUAUUUAUUAUUAAAGAGUAAAUAUAAUUAUUAGUAAUAUAUAUAGUAUUUGUAAUAAAAUAUCAAUAAUUAGAAAGAUUAUAAAAACUAAAUUAGAAGAACUAAAAACUAUAUUUUUAUUAAUUAGAAUAUUUGAAUAAUCUCUUUAAUCAUAUAAAAUGCAUAUACUUGUAAUAUUUAAAG
Molecule: unclassified non-coding RNA, 531 nt
Filed under: Clostridioides difficile
Lineage: Bacteria; Bacillati; Bacillota; Clostridia; Peptostreptococcales; Peptostreptococcaceae
Description: RNAIII
Source: RNAcentral